Molecule: transfer RNA, 73 nt
Filed under: Sus scrofa (pig)
Lineage: Eukaryota; Metazoa; Chordata; Mammalia; Artiodactyla; Suidae
Rfam family: tRNA
About the family: Transfer RNA (tRNA) molecules are approximately 80 nucleotides in length. Their secondary structure includes four short double-helical elements and three loops (D, anti-codon, and T loops). Further hydrogen bonds mediate the characteristic L-shaped molecular structure. tRNAs have two regions of fundamental functional importance: the anti-codon, which is responsible for specific mRNA codon recognition, and the 3' end, to which the tRNAs corresponding amino acid is attached (by aminoacyl-tRNA synthetases). tRNAs cope with the degeneracy of the genetic code in two manners: having more than one tRNA (with a specific anti-codon) for a particular amino acid; and 'wobble' base-pairing, i.e. permitting non-standard base-pairing at the 3rd anti-codon position.
Source: Rfam by way of RNAcentral
UCCCUGGUAGCCUAAUGGUUAGGGACUCAGCACUGUCACUGCUGUGGCUAAGGUUCGAUCCUUGGCCCAGGAA